UUGAUUACGUCCCUGCCCUUUGUACACACCGCCCGUCGCUGCCCGGGACUGAGCCAUUUCGAGAAACUCGGGGAUUGUUGGUCUGGUUGCUUUCGGGCAGCCGUUCUGGCGAGAACCGAUUUAAUCGCAGUGGCUUGAACCGGGCAAAAGUCGUAACAAGGUAGCUGCAGGUGAACCUGCUGCUGGAUCAUUACCCACCUGAU
This 203-nucleotide ribosomal RNA is filed under the name Helicotylenchus multicinctus. RNAcentral describes it as "partial 18S ribosomal RNA". It matches the Rfam family "Eukaryotic small subunit ribosomal RNA", at positions 1641 to 1831 of the family's 1831-position model. The record is from RNAcentral. Lineage: Eukaryota; Metazoa; Nematoda; Chromadorea; Rhabditida; Hoplolaimidae.